UGAGCUAUUGCACUGUAAAAUGUAAUAGCUGAGCUUACUAAAAAGAUUAAGUAAACUUAACUUAUUUAAUUAAGUUUGUUAACCUUACUUAGUUUAACUAAGUAAUCCCAACUUUUUACUAUGCAAACUCAAGUCAACUUGAUUAAACUUAAAAGAUUAAUUUAGCUCAACUUAAAAUUUCAAGUAUUUUCAAAAAGGAUGACUGCACAGUAGGUGGCAGUAAUGCUCCCAAGGAGUAAGUGGUGGCUUAACUGAGUGGUUAACUGAAGAAGACGACAACAGCACAUGGUCGGAUGAGAGCAUGAGGAGCAGGAGCUUGUUUCUUUGAAGAGAGUGCAUACCCUUCAUGGAAAGUCAGGUAAUUAACACACAUUUUAUUUAGGGCAUGUCAAAACUUUUUAAAUCUUGAUAUGUUGUUUCUUUUGUUAUCCUUCUUUCAUAUAGUAUAACGUUACUGUGGAGUACAACCAAGUCGCAAGCAAAAACCUCAAGCAAUAAUUGUUCUCAUCCCUUGCUAAACAUUGUUUUUGAAGAUUUUGAAUGAGAGAAAAGUUUAAAAGCUCUCUUCAGUAUCUAAUAAACAUCACUGAUGUCACUGCUCGGUGGACGGUAGUUCUCCGUGGUCUUGCUAUCCUUCUUGCGGAAGACACUACAGACUUCCUGAAAACAAACAUGGUUAGUAUUCUUCUUGUUUAAUCAAUAUGAGAUAUCCUAAUUUUUGUGUUAGCAUUUAAUUAGCAUUAUUAAAGAAAUAAUGUGUAAAUAGAAGAUAAUUAAAGGCACCAAGGCACAUCCUUUUGUCCCACAAUUCUAUGCGUGAGCAUGCUCAGGAUUGGUUGAGCCUGGUUGAGUUCGAUAAAAUAAAAUGGUGGGCAAGAAAGCAACUGAGCACACAUUUAGUGUAAAUAAAGUAAUAUUUUCACUUUUGGUUGCAUUUCUAGCGAGAAAUUUGUAUUGUAGUUUUGAACUCUUUCCCCGCCAUUGAGUUAUUCCGUCAAUUAAGAGAUUCAAUAACUUCUGAUAAAUGCUGUGAAUAAAUGAAAACAUAAUUUAUUUGCCAGGUAAAGGUUUUAUGCCAAUUACAUAACCAAUUCAAAUUCAUUAUAAAGAAAGCAAAACAUCAAAUAUUCAAAGAUCAGUCUGAGAUGUAUACCUGACAGUGGCGAAAUACAUCAACAUGACACUAUGGGUUUUGGUUUAUCGCAUUAUGAGUGAACAAAGCUUAAUACAGGUGUUAACAGUGUGUAAACCGUUUUGAGCUGUCCACUUUCGACUACAUUCAGAUGUAUUCAAAACAGAUUAGAACCGCUUAAACACGCUGUAACCCGUAUGCUGGA
Molecule: non-coding RNA, 1337 nt
Organism: Misgurnus anguillicaudatus (oriental weatherfish)
Lineage: Eukaryota; Metazoa; Chordata; Actinopteri; Cypriniformes; Cobitidae
Source: RefSeq, a predicted model, not a curated record